AGAGUUUGAUCCUGGCUCAGGAUGAACGCUGGCGGCGUGCCUAACACAUGCAAGUCGAACGGGGUGGAAACACCUAGUGGCGGACGGGUGAGUAACGCGUGAGAAUCUGCCUUCAGGACGGGGACAACAGCGGGAAACUGCUGCUAAUACCCGAUGUGCCGCAAGGUGAAAGAAAUUCGCCUGAAGAGGAGCUCGCGUCAGAUUAGCUAGUUGGUAGGGUAAGAGCCUACCAAGGCGACGAUCUGUAGCUGGUCUGAGAGGAUGAGCAGCCACACUGGGACUGAGACACGGCCCAGACUCCUACGGGAGGCAGCAGUGGGGAAUUUUCCGCAAUGGGCGAAAGCCUGACGGAGCAACGCCGCGUGAGGGAGGAAGGCCUUUGGGUUGUAAACCUCUUUUGCUCGGGAAGAAGGCAGUGACGGUACCGAGCGAAUCAGCCUCGGCUAACUCCGUGCCAGCAGCCGCGGUAAUACGGAGGAGGCAAGCGUUAUCCGGAAUCAUUGGGCGUAAAGAGUCCGUAGGUGGCAACGCAAGUCGGCGGUCAAAGACCGGAGCUUAACUCCGGAGCGGCCGUGGAAACUGCGUAGCUAGAGUCCGGUAGGGGUAGCGGGAAUUCCCAGUGUAGCGGUGAAAUGCGUAGAGAUGGGAAGAACAUCGGUGGCGAAAGCGCGCUACUGGGCCGGACUGACACUGAGGGACGAAGCUAGGGAGGAAGGAUAGAUACCCUGUAGUCUAGCUGUAACAUGGAACUAGCGUGCUGUUCGACCGAGCGUGCGAACUACGCGUAGUUUGC
This 793-nucleotide ribosomal RNA is filed under the name uncultured cyanobacterium. Its description in RNAcentral is "bacterial SSU rRNA". It matches the Rfam family "Bacterial small subunit ribosomal RNA", at positions 8 to 856 of the family's 1533-position model. Lineage: Bacteria; Bacillati; Cyanobacteriota. The record is from RNAcentral.